This 253-nucleotide ribosomal RNA is filed under the name uncultured bacterium. Its description in RNAcentral is "partial 16S ribosomal RNA". It matches the Rfam family "Bacterial small subunit ribosomal RNA", at positions 524 to 776 of the family's 1533-position model. The record is from RNAcentral.
UACGUAGGGUGCGAGCGUAAAUCGGAAUUACUGGGCGUAAAGCGUGCGCAGGCGGUUAUGCAAGACAGAUGUGAAAUCCCCGGGCUCAACCUGGGAACUGCAUUUGUGACUGCAUAGCUAGAGUACGGUAGAGGGGGAUGGAAUUCCGCGUGUAGCAGUGAAAUGCGUAGAUAUGCGGAGGAACACCGAUGGCGAAGGCAAUCCCCUGGACCUGUACUGACGCUCAUGCACGAAAGCGUGGGGAGCAAACAGG